Molecule: long non-coding RNA, 2158 nt
Filed under: Olea europaea subsp. europaea
Lineage: Eukaryota; Viridiplantae; Streptophyta; Magnoliopsida; Lamiales; Oleaceae
Source: RNAcentral
AAACAAUAUGCAAGAAACAUAAUUAAAAAAAAAAAAAAAAAUCUUUCUCAGAAGCCAGUGAAUGAUUAAAAGUGGUAGCCUUAAAAAAAAAAGGGUUAAAGUGUAAUAGAUAUAAAUCACCUAAACUUAUCUACUUAGGGACAAAACUACCUUUCUACAAAAAAAUUAAGAUUCACACAAUUUUCGCUCUUACUAAAAAUGACAGCAAACAUGGUUUUGGAAUUUUUUAUCUCGGGAUUUAUAUUAACUUUGAUGAGAAACUGAUGUUAACCACAUGCUUACUUGUAAUAACAUUGGUAUAGAAAUUCUAUCAAAAAAUGACAACCUUUUGUUGCAUCUCUUACAACACACAACAUGGAGGUGGAUGAAAAAUUUCAAGAGGGGAUGUCAUAUAUAGGCAACAGACGGUAAACGGUUCAAGAAAUACAUCAACAAAAAAUAGAAGAAACAUGGCAUCAGAAUUCCAGACAUGAAUGUUCCACAUGUAUUCAAAUUAGUCUGGAAAUUCCCUAGUGUAAAAUGCUAGAAUUGCAAACAACGAAGGAUUAGCUUAACUGAUAAGGAGUAAUUUUUGAGAAGAAUUAUGAGAUUUUCAAGAACAAUUAUGUCCAUACUCAUCAAGAACAAUUAUGAGAUUUUCAUCUUCCUUUUUGACCCAACAGAUGAGGAGUAAUUUUUGAGAAGUGUGAUAAUGCUGAUUGUUAUGACUUCAUAGUAAGACGAUGAUAUAUAUAAAUGGAAUGAACUACAAAAUCACAGUAAAUUUAUAUCAUAGCCCUUUCCUGUAUCACAGCGGCUUGCCUGAAAUCCUGCUUGCCUGAAACACUAAAGAAGUACACAAAAAUAGCCCCGGCCUGGAAUUCUCGACAUUCAACAAGUAAAUGAAAUUUCAAGAACUCCAGAAAAUAUGGGAAGCUUCAAGUUCUGCCAUGACUAAUUUUGGAAUAUAGAGGACAAGUCUUGGGUGGGUUUUAUAUCAUUCAAGUGCUUGUUCGAAUCUUAAAUUACUUAUUUUACCAAAAAGCAUAAUGUAAUGGGAUGUGUGAAACUACAAGUAUGACUUCUUGCAAAUCUAGAUUGAAGGUGCAAAUUUUUUAUUGCAUUUUCUCAUUCUACUAGUGUUUCGAUUCUAUGAUAGAUAUUGUUGCUAGUUGUAAGAAAUGAUGAAUCGAGAUCUAUAAACUUGCAUAAGGUCAAAUUAACAGAAAAGAGAUCUUCUGGUGAAGAAAUCUCGUCUAGAGAUGAGCACAUAGAUAACAUAAAAGCUUCCGAAGUGUCGAGAAUAGCGCUUGGAAACAAUCUAGAGCAACUUGAUUAUUAUCUUGAUUGAUCCAUAAUAGAAAGACAAAAUAAGGAUACAUCCUAAUAGAACUAAAUCUUUGCAAGCCCUCUUCUAAUUCGGCUAUGAUACAUAACAAUGAAGUCAAUAACUCCAGAAAACGAGGCAAGCGGGACGACCUUUCCUAUAUCUUGCCCUAAGAUUUUUAGGUGAUGAGCGGAGAAUAAAUAUCCUCAUGGCCUACAUGUCCAUCUCGGUCGCCAUGCUUGGAUUACUAAAAGUCUAGCAAGAAACAUGGAGAAAGAUCACAAAAGAAUGCAUCCAACAUCUAGCUUAAAUUUCUCAAUAAACAUUCAUAGGGGCAUUGCUCUGCCGCCACUACUACUAUAUUUUGACAUAAUAAAAGUCUGGCAAGGAGCAUGGAGAUGGAGUAAUCUUGACACUUUUCCACCACAUCUAAAACCCUAGAGACUCCAACAUCUACUUUAAAUUUUAGAACAACACAUUUACUAACGGAUUCAGCAGCAAUUCGUACGAAGAAAUUACAGGUAGUAGUAAAACUCUAUAAAUAUAUAAUCUUGGAAUGGGCAUACCUGGAAGACAAUAUCAAAGAAAUUGAUUUGUGGAUAAAGCAACAUUUCACAGCAAUCGAUCUAUAGCAGAAGCCAAAAAUCUUAGAAUUCGAAUUGCAGAUGAAGCCCAAAUUCGCUUCAAUUGAAGAGUUUCAAUUAGGUUUGGGCCAACUAAACAUAUGCAACAAAUGGAGGGAAUGAAUAAUUUUAGGGAUAAAAUUUUUGGAGGCAAAGAAAUUGAGGAAGACAGGCAAAAUUUAAGAGAGGGAAUGAAAAAAUUUGGGGAAAACCUUGGAGGCAGAGAGUA